RNAcentral lists this ribosomal RNA (223 nucleotides) under uncultured bacterium. Its description in RNAcentral is "partial 16S ribosomal RNA". It matches the Rfam family "Bacterial small subunit ribosomal RNA", at positions 305 to 526 of the family's 1533-position model. The record is from RNAcentral.
CGCCCUCCCUCCGCCGCCACUCACGACUACCGUACGGGAGGCAGCAGUAAGGAAUAUUGGUCAAGUGGGCGGGAACGGCCUGAACCACGCCAUGCCGCGUGCAGGAAGACGGCCUACGGGUUGUAAACUGCUUUAUACGGAAUAAACCUUGGUACGCGUACCAAGCUGAAUGUACUGUAAGAAUAAGGAUCGGCUAACUCCGUGCCAGCCGCCGCGGUAAUAC